Molecule: ribosomal RNA, 497 nt
Filed under: uncultured bacterium
Lineage: Bacteria
Description: partial 16S ribosomal RNA
Rfam family: Bacterial small subunit ribosomal RNA
Source: RNAcentral
GAUGAACGCUGGCGGCGUGCCUAAUACAUGCAAGUCGAGCGAACGGACGAGAAUCUUGCUUCUCUGAUGUUAGCGGCGGACGGGUGAGUAACACGCGGAUAACCUACCUAUAAGACUGGGAUAACUUCGGGAAACCGGAGCUAAUACCGGAUAAUAUUUUGAACCGCAUUGUUCAAAAGUGAAAGACGGUCUUUCUGUCACUUAUAGAUGUAUCCGCGCUGCAUUAGAUAGUUGGUAAGGUAACGGCUUACCAAGGCAACGAUGCAUAGCCGACCUGAGAGGGGGAUCGGCCACACUGGAACUGAGACACGGUACAGACGCCUACGGGAGGCAGCAGUAGGGAAUCUUCCGCAAUGGGCGAAAGCCUGACGGAGCAACGCCGCGUGAGUGAUGAAGGUCUUCGGAUCGUAAAACUCUGUUAUUAGGGAAGAACAUAUGUGUAAGUAACUGUGCACAUCUUGACGGUACCUAAUCAGAAAGCCACGGCUAACUACGUG